UCUUUCUUAAUAUAAAAGUAUUUUUAACUUCCAAUUAAAAAGUCUCCCUGAGAGAGGAAGAA
This 62-nucleotide transfer RNA is filed under the name Peloridora minuta. RNAcentral's name for it is "tRNA-Gly". The record is from RNAcentral. Lineage: Eukaryota; Metazoa; Arthropoda; Insecta; Hemiptera; Peloridiidae.